GAUGAACGCUAGCUACAGGCUUAACACAUGCAAGUCGAGGGACCGGCGCCCGGGUGAGUAACACGUAUCCAACCUGCCCUUUACUCGGUGAUAGCCUUUCGAAAGAAAGAUUAAUACCCGAUAUAAAGGAUGGGGAUGCGUUCCAUUAGGUUGUUGGUGAGGUAACGGCCAACCAAGGCGACGAUCAGUAGGGGUUCUGAGAGGAAGGUCCCCCAGAUUGGAACUGCGACACGGUCCAAACGCCGACGGGGGGCAGGAGUAAGGAAGAUUGGUCAAUGGGCGCGGGCCUGAACCAGCCAAGUAGAGGGCAGGAUGACGGCCUAUGGGUUGUAAACUGCUUGUGUAUGGGGUUAGGUACCAUACGAAUAAGGACCGGCUAAUUCCGUGCCAGCCGCCGCGGUAAUUC
RNAcentral lists this ribosomal RNA (406 nucleotides) under uncultured bacterium. RNAcentral's name for it is "partial 16S ribosomal RNA". It matches the Rfam family "Bacterial small subunit ribosomal RNA", at positions 28 to 526 of the family's 1533-position model. The record is from RNAcentral.